CAGCCGCCGCGGUAAUACGGAGGGUGCAAGCGUUAAUCGGAAUUACUGGGCGUAAAGCGCACGCAGGCGGUCUGUCAAGUCAGAUGUGAAAUCCCCGGGCUCAACCUGGGAACUGCAUUUGUGACUGGCAAGCUAGAGUGUGGCAGAGGGGGGUGGAAUUCCGCGUGUAGCAGUGAAAUGCGUAGAUAUGCGGAGGAACACCGAUGGCGAAGGCAGCCCCCUGGGCCAACACUGACGCUCAUGCACGAAAGCGUGGGGAGCGAACAGGAUUAGAUACCCCGGUAGUCCCUGUCUCUUAUAC
RNAcentral lists this ribosomal RNA (301 nucleotides) under uncultured bacterium. RNAcentral describes it as "partial 16S ribosomal RNA". It matches the Rfam family "Bacterial small subunit ribosomal RNA", at positions 509 to 807 of the family's 1533-position model. The record is from RNAcentral.